UUGAACGCUGGCGGAAUGCUUUACACAUGCAAGUCGAGCGGCAGCGCGGGGCAACCUGGCGGCGAGCGGCGAACGGGUGAGUAAUGCAUCGGAACAUGUCCAUGGAUGGGGGAUAGCCCGGCGAAAGCCGGAUUAAUACCGCAUGAGCCCGAGAGGGGAAAGUGGGGGACCGCAAGGCCUCACGUCGAUGGGUUGGCCGAUGCCCGAUUAGCUAGUUGGUGAGGUAAUGGCUCACCAAGGCGAUGAUCGGUAGCUGGUCUGAGAGGAUGAUCAGCCACACUGGGACUGAGACGCGGCCCAGACUCCUACGGGAGGCAGCAGUGGGGAAUUUUGGACAAUGGGGGCAACCCUGAUCCAGCCAUUCCGCGUGAGUGAAGAAGGCCUUCGGGUUGUAAAGCUCUUUUGUCCGGAACGAAACGGUUUGCGUGAAUAGCGCCGACUACUGACGGUACCGGAAGAAUAAGCACCGGCUAACUACGU
RNAcentral lists this ribosomal RNA (480 nucleotides) under uncultured bacterium. RNAcentral's name for it is "bacterial SSU rRNA". It matches the Rfam family "Bacterial small subunit ribosomal RNA", at positions 29 to 506 of the family's 1533-position model. The record is from RNAcentral.